ACCUGGGAUAGUUCAGUUGGUGGGGCAGGAGAUUCUUAACCUUGGGGUCAUGGGUUCGAGCCCCACGUUGGGCA
Non-coding RNA from Podarcis lilfordi (Lilford's wall lizard), 74 nucleotides. The record is from the annotation of a GenBank genome assembly. NCBI's taxonomy places the organism in Eukaryota, Metazoa, Chordata, Lepidosauria, Squamata, Lacertidae.